GCUUAAUUAAGGAGUGAGUCAGGGUGGUGGCUUAAGACACAAUUUCCACUGUGCUCCAUGCUCCCUUCCUCUUCUCUCCCUCCAAUGUUAUUUCAAGCACAUAAACUCACAAGGCUUUGUGAGGAGUGGAAAGAAUGUGGGCUCUGAGCUACCAGACCUCCUGGAAAAUCCCAGCUCUGUAGUUCACUAGCUAUGGGACCCUGAGCAGAGACCACAUCUACUCUGGGUCUCAGUUUCCUCAACAUAAUGUAGGGUUGUUGUGAGAAUGGAAUGGUGUUAAACAUAAAGGACUUUGCAGAAAAUUUGGGGUACAGUGAUGUGCAGUAAGGACUAAGAGUGCCUUUGGUUUGGGUCUGUGUGCCCUCAUUCUUACCCUUCAAGAUGUAGAUGGCAGGGUCAUUUUGAUAGAGGUCUCCAGCAGAUUCUGGGAACGGUUUUCUCUUUCCUUCUUCCUGGUUGGCUAUUGUGGAUCAUUCCUGCAAAAUUACUUUCUGUGGUUCUCCAGGGCUGGAGGGCAUAGCUCAAUUGCUCUUGAAACUAAACCCUUUCACAACUUCCUGGGCAGCUGCCAGACCCUGGUGCUAGCAGGACUACAUGGGCCAGGUUUCUGCUUUGAGGAUUUUACUGAAUUGUACAGACACACAGUCUCAGGUCUUUUUUCUUAUCAACUCUUUGGUGACAUGAACAGGCACCAGAGUAAGGUCUCUUUACUGAAUGCUCCUGCUCAGAGUUGGUGAAUCUGUGGAAUUUGUUUUUGCUUCCUGAGUUUUGGGUGGGCCUUCAGACUCGGCUGUAGGACUCGCCGACCAGAGGCCCCCAGAUUCUUGUGUGGAGUGCCUACUCUUCCUUCCUCACUCCAUUCCUCACCUAAUGUAAUUUCCUUGGAUUCAGACAAGUGCUAGUGGUUUCCUGCCUCUAGUACACCCAGCCUGCCCCAGACUGGGCAUGCACUGAGUGUGUGCACUCUUUUUAUGAGUAUCCUCUGCUCACUCCAUUCAAAACUGUCCUGUUUUGUACCUCAUCUGCUUGGAGAUCCUCUUCUAGCCUUGGCCUUGCUGUUCUUAGGUGUUAAUGAGUAAAUAUAUGCUAUCUUUCUCAGUAGGCAUAAUGAACCACUCUCCCUCCACCAAAAUAGCUAUAACACAGGGCGCUGAGGCACUGAACUGAGAGUCAUAAAACUCUCAUUCCCAGCCCCACUACUCAGCAGUUUUAUAAUCUUGGGCAAAUCACUUAUUGUCUCUGAGCCACAAGUGUUCAUAUUUGGAAGGGUGGGGCUAAUGCUAAUUGCCCUAUUUCUCCCCACCUACCUCCCCACAGUUCCAUUUACUGUGAGAAUCAAAUAAGAUAAUGCCUGUGAAAGUACUCUGUAAGCCAGAAGCUGUUAUUAUACAGAGGCUACCUAUUAUUAUUAAGAACUGGUUUUCCUGAUUCUUCCAGCUCCCCGAUCCUCUCCAUCCCCUGAGCUGGCUCGAGGCUGGAGAUCUGUAGAAGCACACCUUUGGGGCCAGAGCCUAGAAAUCAUUCUGCUUUGCCUACCAAGGAAUCUUCUUAAUUCCUCUUAUUUAAACA
RNAcentral lists this long non-coding RNA (1569 nucleotides) under Homo sapiens (human). RNAcentral's name for it is "non-protein coding lnc-MYC-20:1". Lineage: Eukaryota; Metazoa; Chordata; Mammalia; Primates; Hominidae. The record is from RNAcentral.